This is a non-coding RNA of Schizosaccharomyces pombe (fission yeast), 301 nucleotides long. The record is from the annotation of a GenBank genome assembly. NCBI's taxonomy places the organism in Eukaryota, Fungi, Ascomycota, Schizosaccharomycetes, Schizosaccharomycetales, Schizosaccharomycetaceae.
AUGGUAUACUACUGGAAAAAAUUUUUUGUGCUUAUGAAUUAGGCAGUUAAAGUGUAAAUAAAAUAUGUUUACUCGUUUGCAGUGGGCAAAGUCUAAUAUUCUAAAAAUGUUUAUAUCUAACUUAAUUCAGCCACGUUCGACAAAUACACACCUAUAUGUAGAUAUUUAGAUAUAUAAGUUAAUACCAAUUGAGUUAUUGCUCUUUUAAGUCCUAGGCAUUACUAGAAUAAUGGUAAAACGUUUCAUCAUCUAACGUCUGUUUCUAAUUCUUCAUUUUAGUACCUUGUCCGAAAUAUUAUAU